Molecule: small RNA, 101 nt
Filed under: Staphylococcus nepalensis
Lineage: Bacteria; Bacillati; Bacillota; Bacilli; Caryophanales; Staphylococcaceae
Description: Staphylococcus sRNA sau-13
Rfam family: Staphylococcus sRNA sau-13
Source: RNAcentral
CCUGUUAUAUCAUUUGGAUGGCCUGCUUUAUCGAUAGAAGCCCCUUCAACCAUUAAGAAAAAGCCUUUAUCAUUUCCUUUUAAUUUACUUAUAGCAUUAUC